UCACAUGCGGUGUCGUUUGAUAAUUCUUGUCGUUUUACUCAUUUAUGCCUUUUGUUUGGUAAACAUUUGUUCCCUGUUCAUUGCUUCUUUAUGUUGAAUAACAUCAAGUAUUCCUUUCAUUGAUUUAAUGUUAUUGAUUGUGUGUUAGUGGACUAAGUUGCAUUAACUAACUUAGAGCAUCUUCUUCAAAGCUCAAUUUCAUUAGUUCUUUUUUGAAAGGCAUGGUGUUUGUAAUGUACCCUGUUAACAUCUGUUCCCGGAUGAACUGAAAGUUAAUCUCGAUAUGUUUGGUUCGCUCAUGUAAUACUAAAGUAGAAGUAAAAUGAAUCAUAGCUUGACAAUAUAAUUUUAUUUAAGGGUCAUUUUAUGCACCCAAAUAGCACCUUUUUUUCCGGGUAAAGUGACCGUCAAUCUCGACAUAUUUGAUUUGCUCGUCAAAUACUAGAUAAGAAGAGAAUAUAUUGUUGUUUCACAAUAUAAUUCCAUUUAAGGGACAUUAAUGAACUUAAGUUCUCUUAGAGUAAGUGCUUGAUCCAAAUAAGCUCACAUUUAGUUAAGGCCAUAAUUCGACAAUGAGGUUUAUGAGCCGAUAGAGAAACUACAUUUACUUUUACUUUCCCAUGAAACAAGGUUGUCUCCAACAAAGUACAAUAUCCAGAUGUAGAACACUUAUCAUAUGGUCAGAAUGUCCAAUGAUGUGAUUAUAUCCUUGAUUUAUAUAUAGCAAAUCCAUCCCAGUGAGUGGUACGUGGCUAUUGAAGAACUUGUUGACGACACUAACAACAUGGAUAAAUGUUAGGGUGAGUGACAAUAAGAUAAUUCAACUUACCAAUUAGUCGUCAAUCGCAGCCAAUAUAUGUUAGAGGAUCCCCUUAUCAGGAAGAAGUUUGUUAACAUCCAUAAGAGAGCUUGCAGGCUUAAAGUCUGUAGUGUGUUUCUUCUAGCAUAUUCGAAGCAUAGUUUCCUUGUGAAAUCACAAGGCCUUCAGUUGAUGAAGGUCUACAAUGCCAAGAAAAUAUGUAAAAGUGGUCCCAAGUCCUUAUUUUAAAAAUAUUGGAAUAAACGAUGCUUGAGAACUCAUAUUCCAUCUUUCUCGCUACCAGUAAUGGCAAUAUCAACAACAUAGACAAUAAAAUAUUACAUGGGUCAAUACUAGUAUGCCUAUAAAAGAGUAAUUUUAUCCACAUUUAGUCAUUCCUGAAUCGUAGCACUAAAUCACCUUAACCAAGCACGAAAAAACUGUUUUAAGAUAUAUAGAGAACGAGAAGCUUACACACAACACUUAGACUCCCUGUAGAGGCUGGGCAACAAAGCUUGGUGGCUAUUCAAAUUCUUUUUUUCCUAAAAAAAAUAUCACAUCAAACAAUUACUUUUCUGUUUUUUAUAUUAUACUACAAAUUUAUUUUACAAUCAAAAGAUCACAUCAACCUCUAUUUAUAUCACAUCAAACAAUUAUUCAAAUUCAACUUUUUACUAUUAAAAAAUCCAAACCCAAAAACUAAAACCCACAAACAAACACACCUUUAAUGUCCAACUAACAAAAAGUCCACCCUCUAUACCUACAAGAGAAAUAAACAAGCAAACAUAUGACAUGUAGGUCAUUCGGCAAAUGGUGUUGGUGUAAUCCUGAUCAUAAAUUUGAAUGAACCCUUUGGCAAUCAAACGAGCUUCAAGACGAUCAAGCUUGCCAUUAGGACCAAUGUUAAUAGCAUAAAUCCAAUGACAUGCAAUUGUAGAUUUAUCUCAGGGAAAACAAACCAACUCUCAAGUACUAUUUGCAUCCAAGGCAACAAUCUUAUCCGCCACCUUAACCAAGAUGAGAAAUAGUCUACGAGAUAGUCUUGGGAAUAAAAAUUGACUUUGAUGUAGCCACAAAACUAUAAAAAAAAGUGGACAAACGGUUAAGAAAUUAUAAAUAGGAUUUUAUAGUGGAAAAUCUAUCUAUUUGAAGAACAAACAAAGAAAAGUUGUUGGAUGCUGAAAGGGGUGGGACCAGCGAUUAGUUGGAGUCAGAAAGGAAUGGGUAGGAACAUGAUGGGAAGAUAAAGAAAGAUGUCGGGGAUGAUGCACUUGGCGAGGAGGUGAAGAGGAAGGAACAACAAGUGGUGAGUAUGGGAUAGGGAGAACAAUCAACAUAGUAGGAAAAGAUGGGGAGGGAUAAUAGAGAGGUGAGCACAUCAAUAGAAAUGAUAUAUCGACCUUGAAUAGAUUAGUAGCAAAUGAUCCCAUUUGAACCCUAGAGUAUCUAAGAAAGACAUAUUGAUAAAAAAAGGCAUUGAGAGCAUGCACAUAAAGUUUAGUAGACCAAGAGUGAUUAUGAAUAAUACAAGUACACCCCAAUAAUGGAAGCAGACACUAAUGAGGAAUCUCAUCCCGAAGGAUGGAACAAGGCAUCUGAUUGAUGUGGUAAGAGGCAUUUAGUGUGUUGACCCAACCUUUUUUUAGUGACACGAUUCUCAAUUAAUAUUACUAAAAAAUAUAAUAUAUACAUAUAUUCACACAAUGUCUAAAAAUAUAUACUCUUCACUCACAUAAAGUCAUUAACUAAAAGCAAAAUAUUAAUUUUUAUAUUAACAACACGCUUCUAAUAUCUAACACUAAUAAUACAUCUAUCAAAAAAACACAGUGAACAUACCCAUUAAGUACCAUGUCAACUCAAACUGUAUGGUUCUUACUGAAAAUGCUAUUUUCCUGAAGAGUAUAGGCACAAGAAGAUUAAUGGAUGAUACUGUGAGAUAGUGUGUAUUGGGACAUAGAGAAACAUUCAAGAGCAUUAUCCCUUUGUAAAAUUUUGAUAAGCAAGUUAAAUUGAGUUUGAAUUUUAGCAUAAAAUGAAGAAAAAACAUAAGGGUUAUUCAGAAUGAGUUCUCAUUUAAGUAAAACCAGCCUGAAAAAUCAUCCACAAAAGGGACAGUUAUUGAACACAUAAAAACCCAAUGUAAGACUAGGAUACAAUAUAUCAUAGUAGACCCUAUCAAAGGGUGCAAAAGCCUGAGCAAAACUUCCUAAGGAAAUGAAGCAGCUUCCUAGGCGUAGAGGAACCACACCAAUCCAUCCCGAACUUGGUGGUUAAACUCUACUGCGGUGACGAUACUGUAGGAGAGGUCCUGCGGAAAAAUAGCUCGACGCCAGGAUGAUAAAAGGCUUAACACCUCUCAUUCCUGAUUACCAAGUUGACAAGACCCACAAUUGAAACAUGACAAUAAAGACAAAUGAGAAGCUGUGCAUUUGAAUUUAGACGGACAAAGAUGACCAAAACGCUGGUGAAGGAGGGAAGAAAGAAUCAACAUUAAAAAUGAUAGAAUAAUCUAAAGAUUAAGUUAAUCUACUGAAAAAAAAUAAUACUAAAAGACAUUGAUC
This is a long non-coding RNA of Andrographis paniculata, 3360 nucleotides long. RefSeq lists it as uncharacterized. The record is from RefSeq and is a predicted model, not a curated record. Lineage: Eukaryota; Viridiplantae; Streptophyta; Magnoliopsida; Lamiales; Acanthaceae. The transcript is spliced from 2 exons.